This 330-nucleotide ribosomal RNA is filed under the name uncultured bacterium. Its description in RNAcentral is "bacterial SSU rRNA". It matches the Rfam family "Bacterial small subunit ribosomal RNA", at positions 28 to 359 of the family's 1533-position model. The record is from RNAcentral.
GACGAACGCUGGCGGCGUGCUUAACACAUGCAAGUCGAGCGGUAAGGCCCUUUCGGGGGUACACGAGCGGCGAACGGGUGAGUAACACGUGGGUGACCUGCCCUCAGCUCUGGGAUAAGCCUGGGAAACUGGGUCUAAUACCGGAUAUGACUUCGCAUCGCAUGGUGUGGGGUGGAAAGUUUUUUCGGCUGGGGAUGGGCCCGCGGCCUAUCAGCUUGUUGGUGGGGUGAUGGCCUACCAAGGCGACGACGGGUAGCCGGCCUGAGAGGGCGACCGGCCACACUGGGACUGAGGACACGGCCCAGACUCCUACGGGAGGCAGCAGUGGGG